RNAcentral lists this ribosomal RNA (495 nucleotides) under Cladosporium cladosporioides. RNAcentral describes it as "eukaryotic LSU rRNA". The stretch from base 140 to 293 matches the Rfam family "5.8S ribosomal RNA". Lineage: Eukaryota; Fungi; Ascomycota; Dothideomycetes; Cladosporiales; Cladosporiaceae. The record is from RNAcentral.
UACACCGGGAUGUUCAUAACCCUUUGUUGUCCGACUCUGUUGCCUCCGGGGCGACCCUGCCUUCGGGCGGGGGCUCCGGGUGGACACUUCAAACUCUUGCGUAACUUUGCAGUCUGAGUAAACUUAAUUAAUAAAUUAAAACUUUUAACAACGGAUCUCUUGGUUCUGGCAUCGAUGAAGAACGCAGCGAAAUGCGAUAAGUAAUGUGAAUUGCAGAAUUCAGUGAAUCAUCGAAUCUUUGAACGCACAUUGCGCCCCCUGGUAUUCCGGGGGGCAUGCCUGUUCGAGCGUCAUUUCACCACUCAAGCCUCGCUUGGUAUUGGGCAACGCGGUCCGCCGCGUGCCUCAAAUCGACCGGCUGGGUCUUCUGUCCCCUAAGCGUUGUGGAAACUAUUCGCUAAAGGGUGCUCGGGAGGCUACGCCGUAAAACAACCCCAUUUCUAAGGUUGACCUCGGAUCAGGUAGGGAUACCCGCUGAACUUAAGCAUAUCAAUA